GUUGUCUUGGGCUACACUCAUCACCCUGUGACAUACCUAAAACGUUGCUUCGGCGGGAACAGACGGCCCUGUAACAACGGGCCGCCCCCGCCAGAGGACCCCUAACUCUGUUUUUAUAAUGUUUUUCUGAGUAAACAAGCAAAUAAAUUAAAACUUUCAACAACGGAUCUCUUGGCUCUGGCAUCGAUGAAGAACGCAGCGAAAUGCGAUAAGUAAUGUGAAUUGCAGAAUUCAGUGAAUCAUCGAAUCUUUGAACGCACAUUGCGCCCGCCAGUAUUCUGGCGGGCAUGCCUGUUCGAGCGUCAUUACAACCCUCAGGCCCCCGGGCCUGGCGUUGGGGAUCGGCGGAAGCCCCCUGUGGGCACACGCCGUCCCUCAAAUACAGUGGCGGUCCCGCCGCAGCUUCCAUUGCGUAGUAGCUAACACCUCGCAACUGGAGAGCGGCGCGGCCAUGCCGUAAAACACCCAACUUCUGAAUGUUGACCUCGAAUCAGGUAGGAAUACCCGCUGAACUUAAGCAUAUCAAAACGGGGAAGGAA
This 539-nucleotide ribosomal RNA is filed under the name Fusarium solani. Its description in RNAcentral is "eukaryotic LSU rRNA". The stretch from base 152 to 305 matches the Rfam family "5.8S ribosomal RNA". The record is from RNAcentral. Lineage: Eukaryota; Fungi; Ascomycota; Sordariomycetes; Hypocreales; Nectriaceae.